UACGAGAGGUGCAAACGUUAUUCGGAUUUAUUGGGUGUAAAGGGUGCGUAGACGGUUCAUUAAGUCUGUUGUUAAAUUUCUUGGCCUAACCAAGAGCUUGCAAUGGAAACUGAUGGGCUUGAGUGUGGAAGAGAGAAGUGGAAUUCUCGGAGUAGCGGUAAAAUGCGUAGAUCUCGAGAGGAACACCGAUGGCGAAGGCAGCUUCUUGGUCCACUACUGACGUUGAGGCACGAAAGCGUGGGGAGCAAACAGG
This 253-nucleotide ribosomal RNA is filed under the name uncultured bacterium. Its description in RNAcentral is "partial 16S ribosomal RNA". It matches the Rfam family "Bacterial small subunit ribosomal RNA", at positions 524 to 776 of the family's 1533-position model. The record is from RNAcentral.